Photinus pyralis (common eastern firefly) is the source of this 634-nucleotide long non-coding RNA. RefSeq lists it as uncharacterized. The transcript is spliced from 3 exons. Lineage: Eukaryota; Metazoa; Arthropoda; Insecta; Coleoptera; Lampyridae. The record is from RefSeq and is a predicted model, not a curated record.
UUGAUUGAGAUGAUAAGGUGGAAAGUGGAGAUGCAGAUGAUUCAGUUGAAAAUUCGGAUGUUGAUUCAGAUGAUAAUGUGGAAGGUGGAGAUGUAGAUGAUUCAGUUGAAAAUUCGGAUGUUGAUUCAGAUGAUAAGGUGGAAGGUGGAGAUGCAGUUGAUUCAGUUGAGAUUUCAGAUGUUGAUUCAGAUGAUAAUGUGGAAGAUGCAGAUGUAGAUGAUUCAGUUGAGAAUUUGGAUGUUGAUUCAGAUGAUAAUGUGGAAGGUGGAGACGCAGAUGAUUCAGUUGAGAAUUCGGAUGUUGAUUCAGAUGAUAAGGUGUAAGGUGGAGAUGCAGUUGAUUCAGUUGAGAAUUCGGAUGUUGAUUCAGAUGAUAAUGUAGAAGGUGGAUAGGCAGAAGAUUCAGUUGAGAAUUCGGAUGUUGAUUCAGAUGAUAAGGUGGAAGGUGGAGAGGCAGAAGGCUCAGUUGAGAAUUCGGAUGUUGAUUCAGAUGAUAAGGUGGAAGGUGGAGAGGCAGAAGACUCAGUUGAGAAUUCGGAUGUUGAUUCAGAUGAUAAUGUGGAAGGUGGAGAUGCAGAUGAUUCAGUUGAGAUUUCGGAUGUUGAUUCAGAUGAUAAUGUGGAAGGUGAAGAGGC